AUUGAACGCUGGCGGCAUGCCUAACACAUGCAAGUCGAACGGCAGCACGGGAGCUUGCUCCUGGUGGCGAGUGGCGGACGGGUGAGUAAUGCAUAGGAAUCUGCCCAGUAGCGGGGGACAACUUGGGGAAACUCAAGCUAAUACCGCAUGCGCCCUACGGGGGAAAGCGGGGGGCCUUCGGGCCUCGCACUAUUGGAUGAGCCUAUGUCAGAUUAGCUUGUUGGUGGGGUAACGGGCCUACCAAGGCGACGAUCUGUAGCUGGUCUGAGAGGACGAUCAGCCACACUGGGACUGAGACACGGCCCAGACUCCUACGGGAGGCAGCAGUGGGGAAUAUUGCACAAUGGGCGAAAGCCUGAUGCAGCAAUGCCGCGUGUGUGAAGAAGGCCUGCGGGUUGUAAAGCACUUUCAGUAGGGAGGAAACAGUAGCCGGUUAAUAUCCGGUUGCCUUGACGUUACCUACAGAAGAAGCACC
RNAcentral lists this ribosomal RNA (475 nucleotides) under uncultured bacterium. Its description in RNAcentral is "bacterial SSU rRNA". It matches the Rfam family "Bacterial small subunit ribosomal RNA", at positions 30 to 494 of the family's 1533-position model. The record is from RNAcentral.